Molecule: non-coding RNA, 66 nt
Organism: Podarcis lilfordi (Lilford's wall lizard)
Lineage: Eukaryota; Metazoa; Chordata; Lepidosauria; Squamata; Lacertidae
Source: the annotation of a GenBank genome assembly
GCAGCUCAGUGGUAGAGCAUCUGCUUUGCAUGCAAAAGGUCCCAUGUUCAAUGCGCAGCAUCUCCA